UUGCCGGGGUAAUUUAAUGGUUUAUGUAUUCUUAUAUUCGUAAUCCAUUAGGGAAAUCGGUGAGAGACCGAUACUAACACGUAGCUGUAAGCAUCAUCCUUAUGUGAUUGUGUAUUGUAUGAGGCUCUGCUUUUUCGUAAAAUCCAUUUCAGUCACUGUGAAAAUGGGAAGGCUGAAUAUCGGAGAAAAAGCAUUGGUGAUAAGUCAGAAUACCUGCCCUGUCAGUCAUCUAAUC
This 235-nucleotide non-coding RNA is filed under the name Porphyromonas macacae. The record is from RNAcentral. Lineage: Bacteria; Pseudomonadati; Bacteroidota; Bacteroidia; Bacteroidales; Porphyromonadaceae.